UACGUAGGGUGCGAGCGUUAAUCGGAAUUACUGGGCGUAAAGGGUGCGCAGGUGGCUUAGCAAGUCGAGUGUGAAAUCCCCGGGCUUAACUUGGGAAUUGCGCUCGAAACUACUUGGCUCGAGUGUGGCAGAGGAAGGUGGAAUUCCAGGUGUAGCGGUGAAAUGCGUAGAGAUCUGGAGGAACACCGAUGGCGAAAGCAGCCUUCUGGGCCAACACUGACGCUCAUGCACGAAAGCGUGGGGAGCAAACAGG
Molecule: ribosomal RNA, 253 nt
Filed under: uncultured bacterium
Lineage: Bacteria
Description: partial 16S ribosomal RNA
Rfam family: Bacterial small subunit ribosomal RNA
Source: RNAcentral